AUCAGCGACUUCUGUGACUUUCCCCCCCAUCCCUCUGCUAGAGCUUUGAUAAGCAGCCUGCUUUUGCAGACAGCGGACAGAUGCCAAAGAACAUUGAGGCUGUUCAGCGGCUGUUUGUAAGUAGAAUUUGCAGGGUGUCCAUUUUCAUCCCCCUUUAUUUCUCCCCAAACUGCCUCUCUGUUCAGAGUUGCAUUCUGAAGUUAAAUGCUGGAUUGGGUUUAAGCAUGUGCCUGUUUUUGAAAUACGGUAUCCACCAGGAAACGACAGCUAGAAUUUUGCUGGCACAGAAAUGGAAACAGGAAGAGAUGCCCACGAAAGAAGAAUGGAGGAUGAAACUGAUGGAAUACGCAGAAAUGGACAGAUUGACGGGGAGAAUUAGGAACCAACGUGACCAGAGAUUCUCCGAGGACUGGAAGAAAUUUACAGAGUAUAUCAAAAAUUUAUGUGAUGAGCAAAUAACGUUCGUUGGCUUUCAAGAAGCUCUGUGAAAUUACUGUUAGAAAUAUUGUUUAAAAAAUAUGAUGUGAUUAAGAGUAUCUGAGUGCAAUAUAAUAUUGGGAAAUGUGAGACGAGGAUAAAAAAAUAAACGGAAAAUUAUCAGACAAGCUGAGGGAAGUUCUGGAAAAAAGGGUUUAAGUUAAAAAUGGAUGUAUAAUUUUGUAAAAAUGUUUUUUUUUAUGGAAAAUCUAAUAAAAAAUAUUCAUAUAUAUAUAUAUAUAUAUAUAAAGAAACGACAGCUCACCCCUCAAUAUUCAGGGGUGUUUGGCUCCGCCCCUGGCUCCUCGUGGCACCGCUCGCAUGACAUCACAGGGCAUCGCUCACAAGACUUCAGGACAUUGAGCACAGUCCCACACAGACCCCUUCAAUCCUGUUAAGAAGAUGGCGCCUCUGGUCUGAUCAAGCAGGGUUCAUAUAAAUUAGUCAAUAUUCAACACCCCUGAAUAUUGAGGGGCUCAGCCCUCUAAGAAAAUACUUUGUGGGGUGAAGCUUCCUUGGCCCCUAGGGGUUGGUGCACUUGGAUCAGACCAAAGGCCCAUCUAGUUCAACUGUGGUGGUGCCUAUGGAAAGCCCAGAGGUUUGAGUGUAACAUUCUUCUUCCACUCACGUACCCAAAUAGCUGGUGCAUGGAGGGUAGUGUGUAACCAACAUUAGUAGCCAUUGAUAGCUUUAUCUUCUAUUGGCUUGUUAAAUUCUAAGUUGUUAAAUGUCUAAGUUGGUGGUGAUCAUCACUACCACACCCUGCGGCAGUGAAUGCCAUCAUUUAACUAUAUAAUAUGUGGAGAAUUGCAGAGGGCCUUCUCAGUAGUGGCGCCGGCCCUGUGGAACACCCUCCCAUCAGAUGCCAAGGAAAUAAACAACUCUCUGACUUUUAGAAGACAUGUGAAGGCAACCCUGUUUAGGGAAGUUUUUAAUGUUUGAUGUUUUGUCGUGUUUUAAAUAUUCUGUUAGGAGCUGCCCAGAGUGGCUAGGGAAACCCUGCCAGAUGGGCGGAGUAUAAAUAAUAAAUUAUUAUAAUAAAUUA
This 1522-nucleotide long non-coding RNA is filed under the name Podarcis lilfordi (Lilford's wall lizard). The record is from RNAcentral. Lineage: Eukaryota; Metazoa; Chordata; Lepidosauria; Squamata; Lacertidae.